GAUGAACGCUGACAGAAUGCUUAACACAUGCAAGUCCACUUGAAUUUGGGUUUUUAACUUAGGUUUGGGUGGCGGACGGGUGAGUAACGCGUAAAGAACUUGCCUCACAGCUAGGGACAACAUUUGGAAACGAAUGCUAAUACCUAAUAUUAUGAUAAUAGGGCAUCCUAUAAUUAUGAAAGCUAUAAGCGCUGUGAGAGAGCUUUGCGUCCCAUUAGCUAGUUGGAGAGGUAACGGCUCACCAAGGCGAUGAUGGGUAGCCGGCCUGAGAGGGUGAUCGGCCACAAGGGGACUGAGACACGGCCAUUACUCCUACGGGAGGCAGCAGUGGGGAAUAUUGGACAAUGGACCGAGAGUCUGAUCCAGCAAUUCUGUGUGCAAGAUGAAGUUUUUCGGAAUGUAAAGUGCUUUCAGUUGGGAAGAAACAAAUGACGGUACCAACAGAAGAAGUGACGGCUAAAUACGUG
This 467-nucleotide ribosomal RNA is filed under the name uncultured bacterium. RNAcentral describes it as "partial 16S ribosomal RNA". It matches the Rfam family "Bacterial small subunit ribosomal RNA", at positions 28 to 507 of the family's 1533-position model. The record is from RNAcentral.